Molecule: transfer RNA, 62 nt
Filed under: Hypoderma lineatum (early cattle grub)
Lineage: Eukaryota; Metazoa; Arthropoda; Insecta; Diptera; Oestridae
Description: tRNA-Cys
Source: RNAcentral
GGCUUUAUAGUCAAUAAUGAUAUUAGAUUGCAAAUCUAAAGGAGUAAAAAAUACUAAGGCUU